UGAUGCUGGCUUUGAACUCUGGAUCUUCCUGCCGCAGCCUCCUGAGCCGCUGGGAUUACAGGAUCCAGUGGAAGACCUGAGGUGUGAAAGGAUGGUAGAAUCAAUACAAGGAAGGAACCUGGGAAUCUGAAGCAGUACAUGAAAGAAGGCCUCCUCCCAGCCACCCCUGCCCUACUGUCACUUCCAAGAAAUUGAAGCAAGCAAGAUAUGUGUGAUAAACUACAGAGAUUUUAGGGUUGUUUAUUUUAGCAAUUAGCCUAACUGACAGAAAUGGUUGUCAGAGUUACAGUUUAGUACAAACCUGAGAACAUAUUAGUAAUUCUCAUUUCUCCUCUGACAAAUUCAGGAGAGCCAUAUAUUUACUUCACAUAAAGAUCCAUAUAUUAACAUUCACCUGUAUAGGCCCCACUUUACAGUCCCCCAGGGUUAUAUAACAGUCCUAAUACACUUAUGAAUAUUAAAUUGAAAUGUGCAAUUCUUAUGAAUGCCUCAGCUAUGAAUUUCAUCCUCAGAGUGGUUCAGCUAUCAACAAGUCCAGGGCCCUCUGAUCCACUGCACAUUAUUUGAGUCAAGAUCUUCUUCAUUAUUUUAAAUCUAACAAAAUGGUUAAAAGCCAGGCAUUCAUGGGAUGGACUUGGCUUACAUACCCGUUUUAUAAGCUCAUGUAUCAGUUAACAUUUUUAAAACUUCAAAAUUUUUAAAAUUUAGGUCAUUGCACACUAAAUGUAAGUUUCUGGCUUUACUUGAGGUGUUGAAAUAUCUUGCAACACUGGUUCUACCUCCAUGCUUAGCCUUAUGGGGCUAGAGCUGAGUAGCCACCAGCUUCCCAUAAAUGAAAACUGUUCUUGAUAGUUUCCCUACAGCAUCUGCUUAUAAUCACCAAUUAUACUUGGUACCUCUGGAGGUUUAAGUUUAUGACCCUGCUCUAGCACAUAUGUAAGAUCUGCAAUCAGUUACUCCUAUAUAUAAUACCUGUUUCAAGGAUAUGAGUUUUUAGUUUUUGAAGUGUCAAUACUUACAGGAUAUCCAGGGAAAGGUGGGUAGCCUGUGGGGGGAUAGCCUGGGUAUGACAUUCUGUAAUGAUAAGAAAAAAAAUGUCCUCUGUAAUUUCUGGUAAGUUUUAAAGCCUUUCAAGAUACUCAGGCACACAUGCAACCACACAGAAGAUUUAUGGUAGGUGUCAAAAUGUGGAUAUUAGGGAUAUAUACAACAUUUAUAAUAGAUGCUUCUUCAUUUGGCUAUUUGCACAGAUCAGUAUAGUAAAGGUUCCAACUUCAUUCUUACACCAUACAGUUUAUCUCAUCUCUGAAUUCUACAACUAUUAUUUAGGAAAUACUUUAGGCCGAUUAAUUUUUACUUAUAUUCAUUUUAAAAUUAUACUUUUGUAUUGCUUUCAUAAAUGAAAAACUUGCAGUAGUUUUCUGACAGAAAGUGAAGGUACUAAAAAUGAAUACAUGCGGAGCAUACUGGCCACGCCUAUAAGCCUAAUGGCUAGGGAGACUGAGGCAGGAGGAUCAUAAGUUCAGCAACUUAGUGAGACCCUGUCUCAAACAAAACACAAAAAGGGCUAGGGAUAUGGCUCAGUGUUCAGUGCUCCUGGGUUCAAUUCCUGGUACAAAAACAAAAAUAAGUAAUUAAAUAAAAUAUGCUUUCCAGGUAUCACAGAAAUUCCCUUAUAUGGAAAUAUAACCCUAUUAUGGAAAAUGAUGGCAUAAAUGUUGAGAGUUAACACAGAACUGGUGCAGCAGUGAGGGCUUAUAGAGUCAGCUAGGGUAGAGGAGCAGUGAGCCCCUGGCUCAAAAAAAAGUAAAAAAAAAAAAAAAAAA
Non-coding RNA from Ictidomys tridecemlineatus (thirteen-lined ground squirrel), 1826 nucleotides. Lineage: Eukaryota; Metazoa; Chordata; Mammalia; Rodentia; Sciuridae. The record is from RefSeq and is a predicted model, not a curated record.